Molecule: transfer RNA, 70 nt
Filed under: Papurana papua (Papua frog)
Lineage: Eukaryota; Metazoa; Chordata; Amphibia; Anura; Ranidae
Description: tRNA-Val
Rfam family: tRNA
About the family: Transfer RNA (tRNA) molecules are approximately 80 nucleotides in length. Their secondary structure includes four short double-helical elements and three loops (D, anti-codon, and T loops).
Source: RNAcentral
CAAAAUGUAGCUUAACCAAAGCCUCCCGCUUACACCGGGAUGAUAUCUGUUCAACUCAGAUCAUUUUGAG